GAUACCGCCCUAGUUCUAACCAUAAACGAUGCCAACCAGCGAUCCGCCUGGGUUCCUCAAAUGACUCGGCGGGCAGCUUCCGGGAAACCAAAGUUUUUGGGUUCCGGGGGAAGUAUGGUUGCAAAGCUGAAACUUAAAGGAAUUGACGGAAGGGCACCACCAGGUGUGGAGCAUGCGGCUUAAUUUGACUCAACACGGGAAAACUUACCCGGCCCGGACACCGGAAGGAUUGACAGAUUGAGAGCUCUUUCUUGAUUCGGUGGGUGGUGGUGCAUGGCCGUUCUUAGUUGGUGGAGCAAUUUGUCUGGUCAAUUCCGAUAACGAUCGAGACUCUAGCCUGCUAAAUAGGCGCUUCCGAUCAUCUACGUCGGGCGCUCUUCUUAGAGGGACAGGCGGCGUCUAGCCGCACGAGACAGAGCGAUAACAGGUCUGUGAUGCCCUUCGAUGCCCGGGGCCGCACGCGCGCUACACUGAAGGAAACAGCGUGUGAUUUCCCUGCUCGACAGAGAAGGGUAACCCGUUGAACCUCCUUCGUGAUAGGGACAGGGGCUUGUAACUGUUCCCCUCGAACGAGGAAUACCCAGUAAGCGCGAGUCAUAAGCUCGUGUUGACUACGUCCCUGCCCUUUGUACACACCGCCCGUCGCUACUACCGAU
This 656-nucleotide ribosomal RNA is filed under the name Scytodes sp. 56 YFL-2022a. RNAcentral describes it as "SSU rRNA". It matches the Rfam family "Eukaryotic small subunit ribosomal RNA", at positions 1011 to 1689 of the family's 1831-position model. The record is from RNAcentral. Lineage: Eukaryota; Metazoa; Arthropoda; Arachnida; Araneae; Scytodidae.